AACAAACGCUGGCGGCGUGCCUAACACAUGCAAGUCGAACGAGAAAGUCGGUUUCGGCCGAUGAGUAAAGUGGCGCACGGGUGAGUAACGCGUGGAUAAUCUACCCUUUAGUCCGGAAUAACUUGCCGAAAGGUGAACUAAUACCGGAUGACAUCCCGGGUUCUCCGGAAACCGGGAUCAAAGAAGGCCUCUGCUUGCAAGCUUUUGCUGAAGGAUGAGUCCGCGUACCAUUAGCUAGUUGGUGGGGUAAUGGCCUACCAAGGUUAUGAUGGUUAGCUGGUCUGAGAGGAUGAUCAGCCACACUGGAACUGAAACACGGUCCAGACUCCUACGGGAGGCAGCAGUGAGGAAUAUUGCGCAAUGGGGGCAACCCUGACGCAGCAACGCCGCGUGAGUGAGGAAGGUUUUCGGAUUGUAAAGCUCUGUCGAGCGGAAAGAAAUGCACGAUGGCUAAUAUCCAUCAUGCUUGACGGUACCGCUAGAGGAAGCACCGG
RNAcentral lists this ribosomal RNA (494 nucleotides) under uncultured bacterium. RNAcentral's name for it is "bacterial SSU rRNA". It matches the Rfam family "Bacterial small subunit ribosomal RNA", at positions 29 to 496 of the family's 1533-position model. The record is from RNAcentral.